RNAcentral lists this ribosomal RNA (802 nucleotides) under uncultured Ascobolus. RNAcentral's name for it is "eukaryotic LSU rRNA". It matches the Rfam family "Eukaryotic large subunit ribosomal RNA", at positions 50 to 795 of the family's 3401-position model. Lineage: Eukaryota; Fungi; Ascomycota; Pezizomycetes; Pezizales; Ascobolaceae. The record is from RNAcentral.
GCGCAGGAAAAGAAACCAACAGGGAUUGCCUCAGUAACGGCGAGUGAAGCGGCAAAAGCUCAAAUUUGAAAUCUGGCGGUUUUACCGUCCGAGUUGUAAUUUGUAGAGGUAGCUUUGGGUAUACAGCCAGGUCUAUGUUCCUUGGAACAGGACGUCAUGGAGGGUGAGAAUCCCGUAAAUGGCUUGGCCAGUGCCUAUGUAUAGCGCCUUCAACGAGUCGAGUUGUUUGGGAAUGCAGCUCUAAGCGGGUGGUAAAUUCCAUCUAAAGCUAAAUACUGGCGAGAGACCGAUAGCGCACAAGUAGAGUGAUCGAAAGGUGAAAAGCACUCCGGAAGGAGAGUUAAACAGCACGUGAAAUUGUUGAAAGGGAAGCGCUUGAGACCAGACUCAGGCAGGGUUGAUCAGUCUCCAUUCUUGGUGAUGCACUCUUCUCUGUCCGGGCCAGCAACAGUUUUGACGGUGGUAUAAAGGUUUAGGGAAUGUGGCACUCUUCGGGGUGUGUUAUAGCCCUAUUCGUAAUGCUGCCAGUUGAGACUGAGGACCGCGCUUCGGCUAGGUUGUUGGCAUACUGGUCUUAAGCAACCCGUCUUGAAACAAAGACCAAGGAGUCUAACAUCUAUGCGAGUGUGGGUGUGAAAAACGGCCAGAUUUAAUGUUGGAGAUGUACCUGAUUGCUCGCACUUACGGAGGCACUCCUGUGUUGUUUUUUUUCGGGCGCUGAUGCACUAGAGACCGCCGCCUGCCGGCUGGAAGCUUGACUCUGGCCAUCGUUUUACACGGCGUGACUGGAAACCCCCCGAGA